CAUUUGGAAAUAGACUUCAAUAAGAUUGUGUUUUUUUAAUGACGUCACGACUAAGCGAACUCUCAAGUAGGGAAAACGCGCCAAAUAGUGUCAAAAAUAGUAGCGGACAUGUUUGAUAUAACUUAUUGAAUGGAGUGUUUGGCAGUUGAAGACAGCGAAACGAAGCGCCAGCAGGUCCAGAUUGGUCCGAGCCAGAGUAUGUUUUUAAUGCGCUGGUUCGGGACCGCUGGAGCCUUCUAUCGGCGAGUAUAAGUGGCUCGGAGCCGAAAAGAUUUUGGUUAUUCGAAGAAAAAAAUGGGACGAGGUGUCGAGCAGAAUAUCAGUAGAAUUUGGUGUCGCAAAAACUGGUGAACAGUGCCAGAAGAAGUACCAAAAUUCCAAGGCUCGGUCUUCUUCAUAUGCUUAACAAAGCAGUGAGCGUGCCACAACAGCCAGCAGUGAAGAACAUAUGAGUGUACCAGUCAUGAAAGUAGAGGCAUGAAGUGGAAAGAAUCGCUCACAAAGAAGACCGACAAGAGAUCACAAGCCGAUACCUUAACAAAACUUACAGAGAAACCGAUGGGAAAUAACUAAGAAAAAUUAGAAUAAGAAAUACAAAAGUUGACUGUAGAAAUUGAAAUAAUACAUUUGGAGAAAAAGAUGUGUUUAGUGUCAAUACGUGACCAAGUGCUAUAACUCUGACAUGUAAUAUACUAGUAGUAGAUUUAUUCCCCUUUUUGUAAUUAAAAGGAUCUUAUUAUUUUUUGUGCAACUACUUCAUAACUCUAUUAUUUCUAAAAUAGAUAGUCUAUAUUAGAAAUAAUAGAGUUAUGGAGCAGUUGCACACAAAAUAAUAUAAAAAAAAAAUAAUUCAAAAAGGGGCAUACUAAUAUUUCUAUGAUAAAAAUAUGAUUCUA
Long non-coding RNA from Dreissena polymorpha, 896 nucleotides. RefSeq lists it as uncharacterized. The record is from RefSeq and is a predicted model, not a curated record. NCBI's taxonomy places the organism in Eukaryota, Metazoa, Mollusca, Bivalvia, Myida, Dreissenidae. The transcript is spliced from 5 exons.